GACAAACGCUGGCGGCAUGCCUAACACAUGCAAGUCGAACGGACAGAACAGGGAAGCUUUUCGGAGUGGAACUGGAAAGUUAGUGGCGGAUGGGUGAGUAACGCGUGGACAACCUACCUUGUAAAGGGGAAUAACCUCGAGAAAUCGAAGCUAAUACCCCAUAAUAACCUUGCUUCGCAUGAAGUAAGGAGGAAAGGCGGCCUUAGCGCUGUCGAUACAAGAUGGGUCCGCGUCUGAUUAGCUAGUUGGUGAGGUAAAGGCUCACCAAGGCGACGAUCAGUAGCCGGCCUGAGAGGGUGAACGGCCACAUUGGGACUGAGACACGGCCCAAACUCCUACGGGAGGCAGCAGUGGGGAAUCUUCCGCAAUGGGCGAGAGCCUGACGGAGCAAUGCCGCGUGAGUGAAGAAGGCCUUCGGGUUGUAAAACUCUGUCCUUAUCGAAGAGAGAGUGUUGUAGUAACUGACAAUACUAGGACGGUAGAUGAGGAGGAAGCCCCGGCUAACUAUGUG
This 511-nucleotide ribosomal RNA is filed under the name uncultured bacterium. Its description in RNAcentral is "partial 16S ribosomal RNA". It matches the Rfam family "Bacterial small subunit ribosomal RNA", at positions 28 to 507 of the family's 1533-position model. The record is from RNAcentral.